Molecule: ribosomal RNA, 269 nt
Filed under: uncultured prokaryote
Description: partial 16S ribosomal RNA
Rfam family: Bacterial small subunit ribosomal RNA
Source: RNAcentral
GACGAAGGUGGCAAGCGUUGUUCGGAAUUACUGGGCAUAAAGAGCGCGUAGGUGGCUUGGUAUGUCAAUGGUGAAAUCCCGUGGCUCAACCACGGAACUGCCAUUGAAACUGCCUCGCUUGAGUUCAGGAGGGGAGAGUGGAAUUCCUAGUGUAGCGGUGAAAUGCGUAGAUAUUAGGAGGAACGCCGGAGGCGAAAGCGACUCUCUGGACUGACACUGACACUGAGGCGCGAAAGCUAGGGGAGCAAACAGGAUUAGAUACCCCCGUA